GUCAGGAUGGCCGAGCGGUCUAAGGCGCCAGACUCAAGGUUACCUUGUUCGCCAUUGCGGUGAAUCUAGUUGAGCGUUCUGGUCCUCUUUGAGGGCGUGGGUUCGAAUCCCACUUCUGACA
Cinara cedri is the source of this 121-nucleotide non-coding RNA. The record is from the annotation of a GenBank genome assembly. Lineage: Eukaryota; Metazoa; Arthropoda; Insecta; Hemiptera; Aphididae.